UGUUGCAGUUAAAAGCUCGUAGUUGGAUCUAGGGACGCGCAUUUCAAGCGCCCGUGUCGUCGGGUCAAACCGGCGACUGCGUUGGCGUUGCGGGCUCGGUCCGUCGGUGGACCCUCGUGGUCUUAAUCGGCGUGUCAACCGGCCCGCCCGUCCCCUCCUUCUGGAUUCCCGUUCCUGCUAUUGAGUUAGUGGGGACGUCACAGGGGGCUCAUCGUCGUCAUGCAAAUGGCGGCGGUGGGUCCCUGGGGCCCAGAUCGUUUACCGUGAAAAAAUUAGAGUGUUCAAAGCAGGCAGAUCCAAUUUUCUGCCACCGAAUACAUUAGCAUGGGAUAAUGGAAUAGGACCCUGUCCUCCUAUUUUCAGUUGGUUUUGGCAGCGCGAGGACUAGGGUAAUGAUUAAUAGGGAUAGUUGGGGGCAUUAAUAUUUAAUUGUCAGAGGUGAAAUUCUUGGAUUUAUGAAAGAUUAACUUCUGCGAAAGCAUCUGCCAAGGAUGUUUUCAUUAAUCAAGAACGAAAGUUAGGGGAUCGAAGACGAUCAGAUACCGUCGUAGUCUUAACCAUAAACGAUGCCGACCAGCGAUUAGGAGACGUUGAAUACAAAACACCACCAUCGGCGCGGUCGUCCUUGGCGUCUCUGUCCCUUUCAACGGGGGCAGGCGCGAGGGCGGUUUAGCCCGGUGGCACCGGUGAAUGACUCCCCUAGCAGCUUGUGAGAAAUCAUAAGUCUUUGGGUUCCGGGGGGAGUAUGGUCGCAAGGCUGAAACUUAAAGGAAUUGACGGAAGGGC
RNAcentral lists this ribosomal RNA (786 nucleotides) under Acanthamoeba sp. RNAcentral's name for it is "SSU rRNA". It matches the Rfam family "Eukaryotic small subunit ribosomal RNA", at positions 611 to 1165 of the family's 1831-position model. The record is from RNAcentral. Lineage: Eukaryota; Discosea; Longamoebia; Acanthamoebidae.